This 451-nucleotide ribosomal RNA is filed under the name uncultured bacterium. RNAcentral describes it as "bacterial SSU rRNA". It matches the Rfam family "Bacterial small subunit ribosomal RNA", at positions 28 to 507 of the family's 1533-position model. The record is from RNAcentral.
GAUGAACGCUGGCGGCGUGCCUAACACAUGCAAGUCGAGCGAUUCUCUUCGGAGAAGAGCGGCGGACGGGUGAGUAACGCGUGGGUAACCUGCCCUGUACACACGGAUAACAUACCGAAAGGUAUGCUAAUACGAGAUAAUAUGCUUUUAUCGCAUGGUAGAAGUAUCAAAGCUCCGGCGGUACAGGAUGGACCCGCGUCUGAUUAGCUAGUUGGUAAGGUAACGGCUUACCAAGGCGACGAUCAGUAGCCGACCUGAGAGGGUGAUCGGCCACAUUGGAACUGAGACACGGUCCAAACUCCUACGGGAGGCAGCAGUGGGGAAUAUUGCACAAUGGGCGAAAGCCUGAUGCAGCAACGCCGCGUGAGCGAUGAAGGCCUUCGGUCGUAAGCUCUGUCCUCAAGGAAGAUAAUGACGGUACUUGAGGAGGAAGACCCCGGCUAACUACGUG